AACGAACGUUGGCGGCAGGCUUAACACAUGCAAGUCGAACGCAUCCUUCGGGGUGAGUGGCAGACGGGUGAGUAACGCGUGGGAAUGUGCCCUUCAGUUCGGGAUAACCCAGGGAAACUUGGGCUAAUACCGGAUACGUGCGAGAGCAGAAAGAUUUAUCGCUGAAGGAUCGGCCCGCGUCUGAUUAGCUAGUUGGUGGGGUAAUGGCCCACCAAGGCGACGAUCAGUAGCUGGUCUGAGAGGAUGAUCAGCCACAUUGGGACUGAGACACGGCCCAAACUCCUACGGGAGGCAGCAGUGGGGAAUAUUGGACAAUGGGCGCAAGCCUGAUCCAGCCAUGCCGCGUGAGUGAUGAAGGCCUUAGGGUUGUAAAGCUCUUUCGUCCGGGACGAUAAUGACGGUACCGGAAGAAGAAGCCCCGGCUAACUUCGUGCCAGCAGCCGCCGUAA
RNAcentral lists this ribosomal RNA (449 nucleotides) under uncultured bacterium. Its description in RNAcentral is "partial 16S ribosomal RNA". It matches the Rfam family "Bacterial small subunit ribosomal RNA", at positions 29 to 523 of the family's 1533-position model. The record is from RNAcentral.